RNAcentral lists this ribosomal RNA (253 nucleotides) under uncultured bacterium. Its description in RNAcentral is "partial 16S ribosomal RNA". It matches the Rfam family "Bacterial small subunit ribosomal RNA", at positions 524 to 776 of the family's 1533-position model. The record is from RNAcentral.
UACGUAGGUGGCGAGCGUUAUCCGGAUUUACUGGGCGUAAAGGGAGCGCAGGCGGCGCGCCAAGUCUGAUGUGAAACCCCGGGGCUCAACCCCGGGCAUGCAUUGGAAACUGGCGGGCUGGAGUGCCGGAGAGGUAAGCGGAAUUCCUAGUGUAGCGGUGAAAUGCGUAGAUAUUAGGAGGAACACCAGUGGCGAAGGCGGCUUACUGGACGGCAACUGACGCUGAGGCUCGAAAGCGUGGGGAGCAAACAGG